ACGGAGGGUGCAAGCGUUAUCCGGAUUCACUGGGUUUAAAGGGUGUGUAGGAGGGCAGGUAAGUCAGUGGUGAAAUCUCCGAGCUUAACUUGGAAACUGCCGUUGAUACUAUCUGUCUUGAAUAUUGUGGAGGUGAGCGGAAUAUGUCAUGUAGCGGUGAAAUGCUUAGGUAUGACAUAGAACACCAAUUGCGAAGGCAGCUUGCUACGCAUAUAUUGACUCUGAGGCACGAAAGCGUGGGGAUCAAACAGGA
Molecule: ribosomal RNA, 253 nt
Filed under: uncultured prokaryote
Description: partial 16S ribosomal RNA
Rfam family: Bacterial small subunit ribosomal RNA
Source: RNAcentral